Long non-coding RNA from Oncorhynchus gorbuscha (pink salmon), 559 nucleotides. RefSeq lists it as uncharacterized. The transcript is spliced from 3 exons. NCBI's taxonomy places the organism in Eukaryota, Metazoa, Chordata, Actinopteri, Salmoniformes, Salmonidae. The record is from RefSeq and is a predicted model, not a curated record.
GGCCCCGGGAGUUCCCCCCCCCUGUUAGCACUGUACCAAAGAGCAUCAAUAUACUGACUAGAUGUUGAUAGCCUCCUGGUAACGUUAGCUAGAAGCUACCACUGAAGGAUAGCUUGGCACAGUAAGUUAGCUAUCCACUACCUUUUCGCGCCCAGGAGUUUUCCAAUUGUAGCGGGGAUGGCAUCAACCAGGUGUGAAGAACUACUAAGUGACAAAGAACCUUUGCAUAUAUCAGCCCCCACUUCUCCUCCCCCCAUUUCUAUCCUCACUGCUUCCCUUUCUAAACAAGCCUCCCCCUCUCUGAUCCGCUCUUGGCCUUCCUCGCACCGUUCCCCGUGGGAUGAGUCUUGUGAGGUCACAGCCCGCCUCUACUCCUCGCUGCAACUCACCCGAGAUCUCCAGGCCAAAGGUCAACCAUCACCAGGCCACACUCACAGACAGGUGUCAUUUCAGUUUUCUUCGCCUCAGCUGGGGGGGGAGGAAGGGGGUAUGGAUAGAUCCCCCCUGAACCUUCAUAGCCCCUCCCCCAGGGGGAGACAGGAGGAGGAGGGAGAGGAAG